This 205-nucleotide unclassified non-coding RNA is filed under the name uncultured Glomus. Its description in RNAcentral is "sequence contains 18S rRNA gene". It matches the Rfam family "Eukaryotic small subunit ribosomal RNA", at positions 569 to 775 of the family's 1831-position model. Lineage: Eukaryota; Fungi; Glomeromycota; Glomeromycetes; Glomerales; Glomeraceae. The record is from RNAcentral.
AGCAGCCGCGGUAAUUCCAGCUCCAAUAGCGUAUAUUAAAGUUGUUGCAGUUAAAAGCUCGUAGUUGAAUUUCGGGAUCAAUGCGUCGGUCGUGCUUUCGGGUACGUACUGGUGUCAUUGGUUUCUCCUUUCUGACGAGCCGUGAUGUCAUUAGUUUGGUGUUACGUGUAGUUAGGACUGUUACUUUGAAAAAAUUUAGNGUGUU